AUUGAACGCUGGCGGAAUGCUUUACACAUGCAAGUCGAGCGGCAGCGCGGGGGCAACCCUGGCGGCGAGCGGCGAACGGGUGAGUAAUACAUCGGAACGUACCCUGUCGUGGGGGAUAACUAACCGAAAGGUUGGCUAAUACCGCAUACGACCUGAGGGUGAAAGCGGGGGAUCGCAAGACCUCGCGCGAUAGGAGCGGCCGAUGUCGGAUUAGCUAGUUGGUGAGGUAAAGGCUCACCAAGGCGACGAUCCGUAGCGGGUCUGAGAGGACGGCCCGCCACACUGGGACUGAGACACGGCCCAGACUCCUACGGGAGGCAGCAGUGGGGAAUUUUGGACAAUGGGGGCAACCCUGAUCCAGCCAUUCCGCGUGAGUGAAGAAGGCCUUCGGGUUGUAAAGCUCUUUCGGCAGGAACGAAAAGGCGGGCUCUAACAUAGCCUGUUGAUGACGGUACCUGAAGAAGAAGCACCGGCUAACUACGUGCCAGCAGCCGCGGUAAUACGUAGGGUGCGAGCGUUAAUCGGAAUUACUGGGCGUAAAGCGUGCGCAGGCGGUUUUGUAAGACAGAUGUGAAAUCCCCGGGCUUAACCUGGGAACUGCGUUUGUGACUGCAAGACUCGAGUGUGGCAGAGGGGGGUGGAAUUCCACGUGUAGCAGUGAAAUGCGUAGAGAUGUGGAGGAACACCGAUGGCGAAGGCAGCCCCCUGGGUUAACACUGACGCUCAUGCACGAAAGCGUGGGUAGCGAACAGGAUUAGAUACCCUGGUAGUCCACGCCCUAAACGAUGCGAACUAGGUGUUGGAGAAGGAGACUUCUUUAGUACCGCAGCUAACGCGUGAAGUUCGCCGCCUGGGGAGUACGGUCGCAAGAUUA
RNAcentral lists this ribosomal RNA (874 nucleotides) under uncultured bacterium. Its description in RNAcentral is "bacterial SSU rRNA". It matches the Rfam family "Bacterial small subunit ribosomal RNA", at positions 28 to 896 of the family's 1533-position model. The record is from RNAcentral.